ACACAUGCAAGUCGAGGGGCAGCAUGAUUGAAGCUUGCUUCAAUUGAUGGCGACCGGCGCACGGGUGAGUAACGCGUAUCCAACCUUCCGUACACUCAGGGAUAGCCUUUCGAAAGAAAGAUUAAUACCCGAUGGUAUGAUGAGAUUGCAUGAUAGCAUCAUUAAAGAUUUAUCGGUGUACGAUGGGGAUGCGUUCCAUUAGGUAGUAGGCGGGGUAACGGCCCACCUAGCCGACGAUGGAUAGGGGUUCUGAGAGGAAGGUCCCCCACAUUGGAACUGAGACACGGUCCAAACUCCUACGGGAGGCAGCAGUGAGGAAUAUUGGUCAAUGGACGAGAGUCUGAACCAGCCAAGUAGCGUGAAGGAUGAAGGUCCUACGGAUUGUAAACUUCUUUUAUAAGGGAAUAAAACCUCCCACGUGUGGGAGCUUGUAUGUACCUUAUGAAUAAGCAUCGGCUAACUCCGUGCCAGCAGCCGCGGCAAUACGGAGGAUGCGAGCGUUAUCCGGAUUUAUUGGGUUUAAAGGGAGCGCAGACGGGUCGUUAAGUCAGCUGUGAAAGUUUGGGGCUCAACCUUAAAAUUGCAGUUGAUACUGGCGUCCUUGAGUGCGGUUGAGGUGUGCGGAAUUCGUGGUGUAGCGGUGAAAUGCUUAGAUAUCACGAAGAACUCCGAUUGCGAAGGCAGCACACUAAGCCGUAACUGACGUUCAUGCUCGAAAGUGUGGGUAUCAAACAGGAUUAGAUACCCUGGUAGUCCACACGGUAAACGAUGGAUACUCGCUGUUGGCGAUAUACAGUCAGCGGCUUAGCGAAAGCGUUAAGUAUCC
RNAcentral lists this ribosomal RNA (826 nucleotides) under uncultured bacterium. RNAcentral describes it as "bacterial SSU rRNA". It matches the Rfam family "Bacterial small subunit ribosomal RNA", at positions 51 to 869 of the family's 1533-position model. The record is from RNAcentral.